This 594-nucleotide ribosomal RNA is filed under the name Marasmius indojasminodorus. Its description in RNAcentral is "partial 28S ribosomal RNA". It matches the Rfam family "Eukaryotic large subunit ribosomal RNA", at positions 73 to 653 of the family's 3401-position model. The record is from RNAcentral. Lineage: Eukaryota; Fungi; Basidiomycota; Agaricomycetes; Agaricales; Marasmiaceae.
GAUUCCCCUAGUAACUGCGAGUGAAGAGGGAAAAGCUCAAAUUUAAAAUCUGGCAGCCUCGCUGUCCGAGUUGUAAUUUAGAGAAGUGUUACCCGCGCUGGACCGUGUAUAAGUCUCCUGGAAUGGAGCGUCAUAGAGGGUGAGAAUCCCGUCUUUGACACGGACUACCAGGGCAUUGUGGUGCGCUCUCGAAGAGUCGAGUUGUUUGGGAAUGCAGCUCUAAAUGGGUGGUAAAUUCCAUCUAAAGCUAAAUAUUGGCGAGAGACCGAUAGCGAACAAGUACCGUGAGGGAAAGAUGAAAAGAACUUUGGAAAGAGAGUUAAACAGUACGUGAAAUUGCUGAAAGGGAAACGCUUGAAGUCAGUCGCGUUGGCCGGGGAUCAGCCUUGCUUUUGUGAGGUGUACUUCCUGGUUGACGGGUCAGCAUCAGUUUCGACCACUGGAAAAAGGCUUAGGGAAUGUGGCACCUCCGGGUGUGUUAUAGCCCUUUGUCGUAUACAGUGGUUGGGACUGAGGAACUCAGCACGCCGCAAGGCCGGGUUUCGACCACGUUCGUGCUUAGGAUGCUGGCAAAAUGGCUUUAAGCGACCCGUU